GACGAACGCUGGCGGCGUGCUUAACACAUGCAAGUCGAACGCUGAAGACCUGGCUUUUGUUGGGUUGGAUGAGUGGCGAACGGGUGAGUAACACGUGAGUAACCUGCCCUCUUCUUUGGGAUAACGCCCGGAAACGGGUGCUAAUACUGGAUAUUCACUGAUCUUCGCAUGGGGGUUGGUGGAAAGGUUUAUUCUGGUGGGGGAUGGGCUCGCGGCCUAUCAGCUUGUUGGUGGGGUGAUGGCCUACCAAGGCUUUGACGGGUAGCCGGCCUGAGAGGGUGACCGGUCACAUUGGGACUGAGAUACGGCCCAGACUCCUACGGGAGGCAGCAGUGGGGAAUAUUGCACAAUGGGCGAAAGCCUGAUGCAGCGACGCCGCGUGAGGGAUGGAGGCCUUCGGGUUGUAAACCUCUUUCGCUCAUGGUCAAGCCGCAACUGUGGGUUGUGGUGAGGGUAGUGGGUAAAGAAGCGCCGGCUAACUACGUG
This 486-nucleotide ribosomal RNA is filed under the name uncultured bacterium. RNAcentral describes it as "partial 16S ribosomal RNA". It matches the Rfam family "Bacterial small subunit ribosomal RNA", at positions 28 to 507 of the family's 1533-position model. The record is from RNAcentral.